This 365-nucleotide ribosomal RNA is filed under the name uncultured eukaryote. Its description in RNAcentral is "partial 18S ribosomal RNA". It matches the Rfam family "Eukaryotic small subunit ribosomal RNA", at positions 592 to 975 of the family's 1831-position model. The record is from RNAcentral.
CAAUAGCGUAUAUUAACGUUGUUGCAGUUAAAAAGCUCGUAGUUGGAUUUCUGGAGGGAGCGUCGGCCCGUAUUUACGAGUGCGUGACGUCUCUGUCCAUCCUUGCGGGAAGGCACGGCAUUGAUUUGUUGUGUCGGAUCGCAUCAUUUACUGUGAAAAAAUUAGAGUGUUCAAAGCAGGCUUUCGCUUGAAUACAUUAGCAUGGAAUAAUAAGAUGGGACUUUGGUGCUAUUUUGUUGGUUGAGCCUAAAGUAAUGAUUAAUAGGGAUAGUUGGGGGCACCUGUAUUGCGUUGUCAGAGGUGAAAUUCUUGGAUUUACGCAAGACAAACAGCUGCGAAAGCGUCUGCCAAGGAUGUUUNCAUUA